GUGGGAAGGAAGGGAGCGGAAAGGCCGAGCGCCACCCGCCCCGGGAGUCUCCAGAGCAGCGCGCGGGGCAGACCUCCUCGGGUCCUCCGGCGCUUCGGUCUCCGGAGACGCCCGGCCUCCUGAAGGGUUCGGCUUGUCCUCCUCUGGCGCUCAGCUCCCUCUGGCGGCCGGGCUGGCAGGACCUCAGCGCCCAGCCCUUCCGUCUUGUUACGUCCAGGGUCUCACUCUGUGUCUCAGGCUGGAGUACAGUGGUGCAAUUGUAGAUGGCUGCAGCCCUCGACCUCCUGGGCUCAAGUGAUCCUCCUGCCUUAGCCUCUCGAGUAGCUGGGAGUACAGAUGCACACCACCACACCCAGCCUAGAAUGAAGAAACCUGCAGUUGGGAAGCAUGAAUUUACCACCUAUUAAGGCACUGGUUUACUGAGACAAUUCAAAACACACAUUCAUUUUGUGUGCUUAUGAAAUAUAUCCCAAGCUGUAUCUUUUUUAUAACAG
RNAcentral lists this long non-coding RNA (494 nucleotides) under Homo sapiens (human). RNAcentral describes it as "HSALNT0008140". The record is from RNAcentral. Lineage: Eukaryota; Metazoa; Chordata; Mammalia; Primates; Hominidae.